Molecule: ribosomal RNA, 253 nt
Filed under: uncultured bacterium
Lineage: Bacteria
Description: partial 16S ribosomal RNA
Rfam family: Bacterial small subunit ribosomal RNA
Source: RNAcentral
UACAGAGGUGGCAAGCGUUGUUCGGAAUUACUGGGCGUAAAGGGCGCAUAGGCGGCCAUCUAAGUCAGACGUGAAAUCCCCCGGCUUAACCUGGGAACUGCGUCUGAUACUGGACGGCUCGAGUUUGGGAGAGGGAUGCAGAAUUCCAGGUGUAGCGGUGAAAUGCGUAGAUAUCUGGAGGAAUACCGGUGGCGAAGGCGGCAUCCUGGACUAAUACUGACGCUGAGGCGCGAAAGCUAGGGGAGCAAACGGG